Anser brachyrhynchus (Pink-footed goose) is the source of this 2482-nucleotide long non-coding RNA. Lineage: Eukaryota; Metazoa; Chordata; Aves; Anseriformes; Anatidae. The record is from Ensembl.
AUGUUCUCCGUGCACAAUGUUCCCACCGAAGGGCAAUUUAUAAGCCCAGAGAAAGCUGCCGUGGGUUAUGCCGCUGAGCAGAAACUCCACAACGAAUACAACACCAUUGCUCCUAAACCCCGGGAUCCAGCUUCCUCAGAAAUGCUCUGCAUUGAUAGUGCAGUGCGCAUGGAAGGACGUGGCAAAACUCUCUUCACCUGGUGCAAGGGGAGGCAGCGGGGAGAGGAGCCGGUGGCCACGGGGGCAACUGGAGGAGAGUGGCAGGGAGCAACUUCUCCGGUGAUUUGUGCGAUAGGAGCGAUGCUCUCCUGCUCCGGCCUGUCAGCUCCAGCAGCAAUUCGGCUCCCCUCGGGACCAUCCUGGCAAUCCAGCAAGCCCGUAGUAAGCAGCGGCGGGAGUUCCUCGGUGACAGCAGCAACAAAUUGUAAAUCAAUGCUUUGGAGAGCAGGCACGGCCGCUCGCGAGCAGAGAUGCUAUUGGCAGCGUGGCGAGACAGAGGGAGGAAAGUUUGCUUUCUACAAGCUCCUGGCAGCUCUGGCAAGGCGGGAGGAGGGUCUUGUCCCCUCUGUCCUAGUGCUGCCACCUCUCCUGGAUGCCAGUGUUGGUGCCCAAAGGCUCUGCCCUCCCACGCUGGGUGGCCACAGGGAAGGGCUGCGUCACCCCAGCAUGGCAUGGCCAUCGGGAGUGUUCCUGUUUGGACGUGGUGACCGCUUGCUUGUGCCAAGGUGGCCAGAAGAGGAUCUGCCACCGGCGGGAGCACAAGUGGUGCUGAUCCCACCUUCAACUUCCUAGCCAUUGGGUUCCUUCAGGGGUCUUCCAGAUCUCCAUCAAAGCAUCCGUCUCCAACAGUCCACUCUCUUGGAGCAUCCUGAUCUUCUCAGCAUGGCACACAGUGAAAACAUGUGGUCAUGCCUAGACAGAUUGCUUUCCCAUUCCUUCCCCAGAAAAGAGGUGCAGAAGAUUGAGUGGCAAAGAACCAGUGUUUGCACUGAGCUCAGCUGUGUCCAGACUUUAAGCUCAAAUGAGAAAAACCAAAGAGGAACAACCAGGAAAGAAAGAACCUCAUCUCCUCCUCUUUUUUCCUGGUUUGGCCCCAAAAUGCAACCCACCCUCACCAAGGCCAGCUUCAGAGCAUCACAGCUGGUGCUGGCUGUGUCCAAUCGAUCUCCUCCUCACACUAAGGGCUGACCUGCAUGUUCUGGCUUUCUCUUUUCUUAUUAAUUACACAAGGUUGUGGAUGCCAAAAUGAAAAGCUGGUUUUAAUUCCAUGCUGCAACCCAGUUCCAAGCUGCUGAGAUAAUUAGCAGUUUUUUUUAAUGAACAAGGAGACUACCAACAUGGAGGAAGGAAAGAUGGGGAGGGAGGGGAAUCAUGGUUGGGGCCUGGUCAGUGAAACUGCUAAUCGGAGAUGGACCCAGGCUUCAAAGCAUGCCAACGCCCUGGGGGCUGAGCCUUCAGCACCCGGUGAGGUGCUCCCGAGCGUGGCGAGGGCGCGUGCUGGAUGGCGCCGCAGGGCAGCUCUGCAGAGUGGCGCACUCAGGCGUCUGCUUGGCCCAGGGCCAUGCUGAAGAACGGAGAGGCUCCGUCUCGUCGCAGUAGCCUGUUGACAUCCAUCUGGCUCUGGGGAGGCGAGAGAAAGCAGUUUUGGAGCCUACUUUUCCACAAGUCUUGGGUAGCCGCAGCUCCAAGUUGCACCAGCCUCGGGCUGUCUGGUUAGCUGGAGCAGCACCACCACACUGCGAGGGUUCCUGCUGGUGGCAGGAGGGUUUCACCCCAAAACACAUCUAUCCAAAUCACUUACUAUCUGUGUGAACACCUCCAAAAUCAACCUGAUGGCAAGCAUAGAUACAAUUUCCCAGGUUAAUGCUGAGGUGAAAUAUCAGCUGCAAAUUACUAGGCAAUGUUACUUGGUAGAGGAUGCAGGAAAGCACCUCUCUAUAUAAAGAAGGAGCACCAGGCGGAGGUGAAAUGCCAGCAAAAACAGCACGUCCCCAGAGAGUGCAGCCUCCAGCCUGAAUUGUUGCUUUCUCGUGUGCAUCGCAGAGACAUGCGGUUGUUGUUCCUUUAAUUAUUAAUCCUUGCACUGACGUAUUAUAUGUGCAUGGGUUUCUGAAGGGGGCUCCAAUGUAAAAAUGAAAAAUACAUUUCAUUCUCUCUCUUAAAACUUGUCUCUAUUCCAUGACCAAUUUUAUUGCCGUUCCGCUCUAAUUUUAAAUAUAACAAGAAACAUUAAGGGUUUCAAUUAAAAGAUCUCUUUCUGGAGAUACUGGAAAGUAGCCUGAAGUAUGGACCACGUGUGCCAUGUUUAAGUGGGAUGCUGCCUGCUAUCUGAUUUCCAGUUUGGUCACCGCUGCAGGGCACAGUGCUUGUGGCUGGCUUUGCCAAGCUGUGCAGUGAGCACUGCUUUCAGGAGCUCCUCACAAGAUGCAGGCUGUAGUGAGGGGCAAAUAAACCUCAGCACAAUGUGACCCUGGAUUCUGAU